This 253-nucleotide ribosomal RNA is filed under the name uncultured bacterium. RNAcentral's name for it is "partial 16S ribosomal RNA". It matches the Rfam family "Archaeal small subunit ribosomal RNA", at positions 474 to 727 of the family's 1478-position model. The record is from RNAcentral.
UACCAGUACCCCGAGUGGUCGGGACGAUUAUUGGGCCUAAAGCAUCCGUAGCCGGUUUUACAAGUCCUCCGUUAAAUCCAGCUGCUUAACAGAUGGGCUGCGGAGGAUACUAUAAGACUAGGAGGCAGGAGAGGCAAGCGGUACUCAGUGGGUAGGGGUAAAAUCCGUUGAUCCAUUGAAGACCACCAGUGGCGAAGGCGGCUUGCCAGAAUGCGCUCGACGGUGAGGGAUGAAAGCUGGGGGAGCAAACCGG